UUUUAACUGGUUUAUUUUCACUUAACUGAGAAGCUGUUUUUCUUGGUGAUUUUGAUGCUCUCUUUCGGUGCCCAGACUUGGAACUAGAUCUGGACUUUGAUCUACUUCGAGAAUGUGAUGAGGACUUUGACGCAGUCCUUGAUCUUGAGCUUCCUCUAGAAUAAGACUGUGAGUGAGAUUUUGAUCUGUAUGAGUCUCUGCUGGAAUGGGUUAAAGAGCUCUGGACAUCCUUAUCAGAUUUAGACCAGUCUCUCUUUGAUGAGUGAUGAGAUGACAAUGAGGAAGAACGAGAACUCCUUUCUCUAUCACAAGAGGAUUUCAUUCUUCGAGUGGAAGAUUUUGAGGAUUCUAUGUCAGACGGAAAAUGUUUUUGAAAAGCAAACCAACUAAUC
RNAcentral lists this long non-coding RNA (392 nucleotides) under Homo sapiens (human). RNAcentral describes it as "HSALNT0053579". The record is from RNAcentral. Lineage: Eukaryota; Metazoa; Chordata; Mammalia; Primates; Hominidae.